GUUUAAAAUACAGGAAGUGACGUUUGACGACGAUGUAACGCUUUGGUUAAUAAACAACACUUUCGAAGAUGAUUUUGCAACGCUUUUGAACGUUAGCUAAUUCAAAUUAGCAGAGUGUUUUAUUUAUUUGUUUAGCUAACGCAUCAUAAAGAUUUAAAACAAUGUAGAAUGGGAAAACGGGUAUAUUUGUUUUGCUAUGAAGCGUCUGGUGCUAGCUAGCUAGCUUAUCACAACAACUGGAUGGCCUUUGUUUUUCAUGGGUGUUUUUCAGCCAGUGCUGACCAGCGAACUAGUCUUUUCGCCUGUCAACAUCCCUGGAUUUUCUAAAGAUGAAGAGAAAAGUGGCUCGAUUACGGUUAAGUCCAAAUGAAGAAGCGCAACUCAUUCGAGAUGAACACGAAAGGAGAAGGAAGCUGUGAAUAGAACAGGUGCGGGAACAGGAGCGGUAUAUCGCCCUGCAAAUCCGCACGGAGGUGCGGCAGCGACGGGAGCGCGAGCUGCAGAACCUGGCGCAGGAGUUGAAGGAGGAGUGGGAGCGACAACAGAGGGAGAAACAGGAGACCCUGCAAAAGUUAUAUCAGGACAAUCUCCGAGUUUUGGGAGAGGGACAUAGAAGUGCCAAAGAAAAUAAGCCUGACUGUGAGGCAAUUGCACAGAGAAAUUAGGGGAAUAACGUUCGGCAGAUGAGCGCUAUCGAGACGCCAUCAAACAGCUCAAAUCACAGAGACAGAAAGGAGGAGGAGCAAAAUCGUUUUAUUGAGGCUAGGAAGAAGGCCAUACAAGUGGAGAAGGAGAGGGCAGCAACUGUGGCCAACCUCCCAUCCCUUCCACCCAACCCAAUUGAGAAUAUUGAGUCAAGGAAGCUACCUGGAGUGAAGAAAUCGGACAGAGAUGCCUUCUCUGUGACCCACUAUCACAUGCCAGAGACUGCAGUGGACAGGGAAGUUGACAGUACAGCCAAAGGCAUGGGAGGUGGCAGAGGAGGAGGUGCGGCGCCUGCAGGAGCUAGAACGGGAGGAGCAGAGGGAGAGACGGGAGCAGCUGGAGAAAGCUCGUCUUAGGGGCAACCACGCGCUGAGGAGGGAACGGCUCACACAGGACCGAGAGUGCCUCCUGGUGGAGCUGGAACACAUGCAUCAGACAGACCUGUUGAGGCGCAGGCAGAUGAUGGCUCAGAUGCCUGCCCAGAUCUUCUAGCUGCUCUACAAGAGACAGGAGAUGAGGGAGGACUGGCAGAGGGACAUGGAGUUCACCUUUGAGGACAUGUACACUGGAGAGAGUAGAGUGAAAGGUGACCUGGUGCUGCAGCUGGUCCCAGAGCCUCUCCCAGCUGUGUCCACUGGCAGCCAGGAUGAACACCUAGACCUGACCCUGGAGGAGGCCACUCCUGACCUUACACCCUCGGCUGGGGCAGAGGAACAACCGGAUGAAGAACCAUCCAGGCCUCUAGGUGGUGCUCCCAGACAGGCCUUGAAGAAGCUACUGACCCGUGUCAGGUCACAGAGAGACCAGUGGAGCUACCGGAGGCUGGUUGACCCCACAUCUGACUGCCAAACUAUUCAGACAGCAGAGCGCGACACGACCUCAGAUGGUACGACCAUUGAGUCAGGCUUUCUGGCCAGCGAAAAGCAGGGCUGACCGUUGACCACUAGUCCCAGACUCCCUGACCCCUCUCAGCCAGCACAAGCUAUAGAGACAAUAGAGGACUCCAUAGUAGCUGGUACCCUGCUCCAUCCUGAUAAACAAGCCAUCAAGAUCCACACAUUUAAACUGAGAGGAAGAGAAGGGAGGAGGAGCUAGAGAGGCAGGAGCAGAUUGCCCUGCUACAGGAUUUAGGGGAGAAGAAGAGCAAGCUGGAGCUACUGCAGGAGGCCCAGGAAGAGAGGGAGCAGCUGCAGACGGCCAUGACCCAAGACACUGCUGCUGCAUCUGGAACACUGAAAACACCAGCCCAGGACGUCAGCCCUGCUGCUCCAUCUCCUGAGUCUACUAUACACUCAGCUGCUGAGGAUGACCACCCCAGGAGAAUCAGAGAGUAUCAGCAGCGUCUCUUAGACCAGAACAGGCUUCAUAAGCAGUCAGUGGAAGAGUCUCACCGGCGUCUGGAAGAGUACCAACACACGCUAAGAAACCGCUAUUCUGGUGUAACUACGGCAACAUGUCUCCCUCCUGGUACCACAGCCCGUCCUCUACCACACUUUAAAGGAGGAAUCAUUCCCCCGGUAGUGCCACUAGAACUCCCCUCUGGCUCCCCUGUCUCCCUGUAGCACUUAGUACCCACUCUAGAGCUCACACCCCUCUGGACCUCUCCACACGGGAGCCCUCCAUCUUGGCUCAAACUCUCUUCCUUCCUGGCGCAACAGUCUGCUCGCAUAUCAACUCCAGGGCCUCACCAGUGCAGCUCGAACCCACCGCUUAAAGCCUAAGAGACCAAAGAGCAGGUGUUUCUGCUUGGCUGGCGGACAAUGUGUUUAGUAGGGUCACAGAGGACCUCCCUGAGAAGCUACCUGGCACCUCUACCUCGUUGGACCCCCAGUCCUACAGACCACAUCCUGUUUCCCUCCACUCUACUCCACGCAUCCCACUCCCAUCAACAGCUGACUCCAUCCCAGCCAUUAGCCCAACCCUUUGAGAAGAGUCAGCUACUCUCCCUGGGGAGGCCCCGGUGAAGCCUGGGCCUGUCCUGUGGGCCUCAGCCAGGUCUGGGGAAGAGGUGGAGAGGCAGAGGCAGGAGAUACGUGAGGCCCAGAGGGAGCAGAGGGAAGAACGGAGAUGGCUGGAGGAAGAGCAGAGGAGGAGACAGAGGGAGGUGUUAGACACUGCUCACUGCUGACGACACACAGCCUGGUUCAGAGAUCGCUGAUGGUUUGGGGUCAAAGGUCCUGGGGUCAGAGUGUGUCCAUCUGAUUGCAGCUCUGCUCAGGGCCAUCGGAGUCCAAUGGGCAAACAUCAUCAUCUGUAGAAGCUAAUCAGAGCCAAGACAACACACUCAAUGUCCAGAGUUCACACCCAGACAGACCCGCCCCUCACCAACUUCCCCAACCACCACCCCCGAGCAGCCAAACCCCUGGUGGCCUGCGCCAGGCUGGUCGUCAUGGUGAUGACAGAGCAGCAUGAGCUCAGGCCUGAUCACAGGUCCAGAAGUGAGUGUGAGGCUGUCUCGUAUUGAAAGGGCAUUUCCAGAAGAACAGGACCCCUUGGCCCACUCUGAGAGAGGUCACUCCAGCACCUCUGUGUUCAGUGCAGGGGAACACACAGCUGGGAGUGAGACAUUAACCAGGUCUGGUAGAUCCAGCAAGCUAUCCUGGAGAGAGAGAGAUUACAGCUGGAGGCUGGUGCCUCUCCUGAACCUGUUUUGUCCAGUUGGAGAUCCUGUCCUUCCAGUCAGCCGGUAGACCCUCAGAACCAGACUACCUGUCUUCCACCACCAUCUCUUCUGGCAGCUUCGCCACCACUGACCCUGAACACACCUCCACCAAAAGUGUGUGUGUGUGUGACUUGUUUAUAAGCCUAAUCAAUUGAGUAUCUAUCCAGGCCAGUCAUGUCAGAAAUUCUAUGUGAUAAAUGAUAGUUGCAUUUAAAAUGGAGAAAUCUAAUCCUCUGUUUUAUUCCCCACCCCCAUAAGACUCUUCCCUGCUCUUGGCUGGGUUUAGAAGAGGGAAGAAAUCAUCGGUCAAUGGCUCCUCUUCAUGAAGACACAGUUCCUGUAGAGACGUAUCUGGUCCUGGGUCUCCCAUCUCAGACUCACUCCUACACAGCAGCAGUAUCCAGCGCAUCAUAGACAAAUACACCCGGGAGCUCAACCUCUCUCUCAGUUCUGCUGGGAACCAGAUGGGAGCUGAUGGGUCUAACUCCCUAGGCUGGGUGGAUCUGAGAGGCUCAGGCCAGACAGGAGUGUCAUCUGACCCAGAGGGAGCCCCUGAAGCCCAUUCAUUGAGCAGCUCCUUUCUCCCUGGACUGGAACUUCUGCCACACUACCAGUGCCUGCAACGCUCUGGCACCAGCUCCCAGGAAGCAGACAGGACUGGGGCCUCCGACUCCUUCCACCCCCUCCUGGCUGAAGUCACACACAACAAGACAGCUGAACCCUCCAUGACCUUUCACCUUCCAGAAGAGGAAGUGGAGGGGCUAUGUUCCCACGAAGAAGAAAGUGACCAUGAAGAACCUGCAGGGGACCUUGAACUCUCUGCAUGCUCAGUUGAGUUUGUGGACGACACUUGGUCUGUCACCUCUGACCCCCCCCCUCCUGAGUGCCUGAGAGGAGGGGAGGAACCACCUCAGCCCUCGCCCGCCCUGCACGACUCCUUGUACCAGCUGACCAUGUCCCAGUGCCUCCCUCAUAACUCUGCUCUGGAUGUAUCCCCAGGAGCAGAGGUGGGGGGGUCUGGCAGCAUGUUCCCUCUCUCUGUGAAGAUGUCCCCACUUUGGACAAGCCACUUGAAGGCGGGGACACUGAUAUGGAGAGCACACCAGCACCUCAGACAGUUGACCAAUGAGGUGCUAUUACCAUUAAGGACCUGGGUGCAGGAGAGCCGGAUGCCCAGCUAUGUUCAGAGUCAAAGAUCAGCCCUCCCAUCUGGGAGAGAAUAAUGGUGGGCAGUGUGAAGGGGAUAAUGGACGAUUCCAUGCUGACCCUGAUGAGCCUGACAGACACCACAUUAAAGGACCACGGACUCGCUGAGGAAGGAGAGAUGGAUGAGGUAUCAGACCAAUAAGGCAUUGUGGAAAAGGAAUCAGAGUGGACAGUGUUGCCAGAGGAGGACGCCAGCCUACAGGACAACCCCCUCUCAUGCAGUAAUGCUGCUGGAGUUCCAGUCGUGUCCCAGCGUGAAUCUACAGGAGGCCUUCCAGCAGAAACGCAGAGCCCUGAUCCAGAGGUCUGCCCGCAGGGUGGAGGAGAUUCAGGCCAAGACGUCUGAAGACAAAGCAAACACCAGGGCCCAGUCUGAAACCACUGAGACCAGGGCCAACACAACCACCAGGGCCCAGUCUGACCCAACCACUGUUCAGUCAUCCACUACUAAACCCAGGAGGGAGGGGAGGAGUGCAGAGUCAACCCAUGCAGGAGUGGAUUCCAAGCAGAAAAAGCAACAGCCAAAGCUCCAAACUCCCUUGCAGCCUCCCAUGCUAGCCAAGCUGAAGAAGGUUGGGGAGGUGAGGAUCAGCACUCCUGAGAUGAGGAUACAGGAUGUGGCUGACAUGCGCCAGAGAACAGAGAGGUUGUACAGCCGACUAGAUGAGGUAAAGCUUCAGGAGGAGGUCAGGAGCAGACAGGAGGCAUAUGCCAAAAACGGGAGAAGGCCAAAGAGUUUCACAAGGUAACAUUUAAAAUACCCCAAUUUUUAAAGGAAUUAAACAUGAUACUGUAUCUGGCAUUACUGUAUAUUGAAUUAAUUGAAAGUUGAAGUGGAUUGAGAUACAUUAGUCAGUUUGAAUUGAUAUGAAUUCUGUUUUCUCUCUUCACAGAAGCUACGGGCCAAGCAGUCUCCGCAAUGAUACUGAAUAUCAGUUUUAUCUGUUGUCGUGUGUUCUGUGUUUGCACUUAUUUUGUACUUACAUGUGUUUUUGUACAGUUUAAUCAGUAAUGUAAAAUAUAUUUUACGAGUGUGUAUAUAAUCUGCGUUCAGUCUAUUCAUCACAAUUUACUGUGUUCACACAACAAAGGCAGCCAGUGCACUAUUGCACCUUGAAUGCUGGCGGUACACCCAUUGCAUUAUGAGAAUGUUAUGUUGCCUGUAAAAAUAUUUUAGUUUCAGGUUUUUAUAACCAAUAAAGUUGUUUGUUGCUGAUUUUGCCUAUCCUUAUAAGUUGUAUUAUGGGAGGCCACUUGACCUGAAAAGAUUGGAAAACGUCUAGUCUCAUAGACGUAAGCUAAUGUUAACGUUAGCUAGAAACUAACUUUAGCCAACACUCAUUGAUGCAAUUUAGCUACUUACAGUAACG
This 5943-nucleotide long non-coding RNA is filed under the name Salmo salar (Atlantic salmon). Its description in RNAcentral is "lncRNA (ENSSSAG00000106394.1, ENSSSAG00000117631.1)". The record is from RNAcentral. Lineage: Eukaryota; Metazoa; Chordata; Actinopteri; Salmoniformes; Salmonidae.